GCCACCUUAGCUCAGUUGGCAGAGCAAUGCUUUCGUAAAGCAGAGGUCCCCGGUUCGAAUCCGGGAGGUGGCU
Molecule: transfer RNA, 73 nt
Filed under: Candidatus Giovannonibacteria bacterium
Lineage: Bacteria; Candidatus Giovannoniibacteriota
Description: tRNA-Thr
Rfam family: tRNA
About the family: Transfer RNA (tRNA) molecules are approximately 80 nucleotides in length. Their secondary structure includes four short double-helical elements and three loops (D, anti-codon, and T loops).
Source: RNAcentral